This 1734-nucleotide ribosomal RNA is filed under the name Salmonella enterica. RNAcentral's name for it is "partial 23S ribosomal RNA". It matches the Rfam family "Bacterial large subunit ribosomal RNA", at positions 1154 to 2839 of the family's 2925-position model. The record is from RNAcentral. Lineage: Bacteria; Pseudomonadati; Pseudomonadota; Gammaproteobacteria; Enterobacterales; Enterobacteriaceae.
CGUAUCACCCAAGACAACUUUACGGAGUUGACGAUUGACGGAGCGAAGCGACGUCAAAGCGUUCAUUAAAGUCGAGUUGGCUUAGGGAUACGUUCGUUGGGUAGGGGAGCGUUCUGUAAGCCUGUGAAGGUGUGUCGUGAGGCAUGCUGGAGGUAUCAGAAGUGCGAAUGCUGACAUAAGUAACGAUAAAGCGGGUGAAAAGCCCGCUCGCCGGAAGACCAAGGGUUCCUGUCCAACGUUAAUCGGGGCAGGGUGAGUCGACCCCUAAGGCGAGGCCGAAAGGCGUAGUCGAUGGGAAACGGGUUAAUAUUCCCGUACUUGGUGUUACUGCGAAGGGGGGACGGAGAAGGCUAUGUUGGCCGGGCGACGGUUGUCCCGGUUUAAGCGUGUAGGUGUGUGUUCCAGGUAAAUCCGGUUCACUUUAACACUGAGGCGUGACGACGAGGCACUACGGUGCUGAAGCAACAAAUGCCCUGCUUCCAGGAAAAGCCUCUAAGCAUCAGGUAACACGAAAUCGUACCCCAAACCGACACAGGUGGUCAGGUAGAGAAUACCAAGGCGCUUGAGAGAACUCGGGUGAAGGAACUAGGCAAAAUGGUGCCGUAACUUCGGGAGAAGGCACGCUGACACGUAGGUGAAGUGAUUUACUCAUGGAGCUGAAGUCAGUCGAAGAUACCAGCUGGCUGCAACUGUUUAUUAAAAACACAGCACUGUGCAAACACGAAAGUGGACGUAUACGGUGUGACGCCUGCCCGGUGCCGGAAGGUUAAUUGAUGGGGUCAGCGUAAGCGAAGCUCCUGAUCGAAGCCCCGGUAAACGGCGGCCGUAACUAUAACGGUCCUAAGGUAGCGAAAUUCCUUGUCGGGUAAGUUCCGACCUGCACGAAUGGCGUAAUGAUGGCCAGGCUGUCUCCACCCGAGACUCAGUGAAAUUGAACUCGCUGUGAAGAUGCAGUGUACCCGCGGCAAGACGGAAAGACCCCGUGAACCUUUACUAUAGCUUGACACUGAACAUUGAGCCUUGAUGUGUAGGAUAGGUGGGAGGCUUUGAAGUGUGGACGCCAGUCUGCAUGGAGCCGACCUUGAAAUACCACCCUUUAAUGUUUGAUGUUCUAACGUGGACCCGUAAUCCGGGUUGCGGACAGUGUCUGGUGGGUAGUUUGACUGGGGCGGUCUCCUCCUAAAGAGUAACGGAGGAGCACGAAGGUUGGCUAAUCCUGGUCGGACAUCAGGAGGUUAGUGCAAUGGCAUAAGCCAGCUUGACUGCGAGCGUGACGGCGCGAGCAGGUGCGAAAGCAGGUCAUAGUGAUCCGGUGGUUCUGAAUGGAAGGGCCAUCGCUCAACGGAUAAAAGGUACUCCGGGGAUAACAGGCUGAUACCGCCCAAGAGUUCAUAUCGACGGCGGUGUUUGGCACCUCGAUGUCGGCUCAUCACAUCCUGGGGCUGAAGUAGGUCCCAAGGGUAUGGCUGUUCGCCAUUUAAAGUGGUACGCGAGCUGGGUUUAGAACGUCGUGAGACAGUUCGGUCCCUAUCUGCCGUGGGCGCUGGAGAACUGAGGGGGGCUGCUCCUAGUACGAGAGGACCGGAGUGGACGCAUCACUGGUGUUCGGGUUGUCAUGCCAAUGGCACUGCCCGGUAGCUAAAUGCGGAAGAGAUAAGUGCUGAAAGCAUCUAAGCACGAAACUUGCCCCGAGAUGAGUUCUCCCUGAGACUUAGAGUCUCCUGAAGGAACGUU